Molecule: ribosomal RNA, 596 nt
Filed under: uncultured bacterium
Lineage: Bacteria
Description: bacterial SSU rRNA
Rfam family: Bacterial small subunit ribosomal RNA
Source: RNAcentral
GGCGACCGGCGCACGGGUGAGUAACGCGUAUGCAACCUACCCAUAACACGAGGAUAGCCUGUUGAAAGACGGAUUAAUACUUGAUAACACAGGGAUACCGCAUGGUAUUCUUUGUUAAAGAUUUAUUGGUUAUGGAUGGGCAUGCGUUGGAUUAGCUAGUUGGUAAGGUAACGGCUUACCAAGGCGACGAUCCAUAGGGGAACUGAGAGGUUUAUCCCCCACACUGGUACUGAGACACGGACCAGACUCCUACGGGAGGCAGCAGUGAGGAAUAUUGGUCAAUGGGCGAGAGCUUGAAUCAGCCAAGUCGCGUGAAGGAAGACGGUAUUAUGUAUUGUAAACUUCUUUUAUAGGGGAAUAAAGGGGCCUACGUGUAGGUUUUUGCAAGUACCCUAUGAAUAAGCAUCGGCUAACUCCGUGCCAGCAGCUGCGGUAAUACGGAGGAUGCGAGCGUUAUCCGGAUUUAUUGGGUUUAAAGGGUGCGUAGGUUGGCUAAUAAGUCAGCGGUGAAAUCCCGGUGCUCAACACCGGGCCUGCCGUUGAAACUGUUAGUCUUGAGUGUGAACGAGGUAGGCGGAAUUCGUAGUGUAGCGUGA